RNAcentral lists this ribosomal RNA (588 nucleotides) under Triticum aestivum (bread wheat). RNAcentral describes it as "partial small subunit ribosomal RNA". The record is from RNAcentral. Lineage: Eukaryota; Viridiplantae; Streptophyta; Magnoliopsida; Poales; Poaceae.
UUUCUCGUCUUCCUCGCCCUCGGCCUCCGCGUCGUUGUUGUAUCCGCCGCGACCUUCCUCGCGUGGCUGUACCGCGCGUUCCUCCGGCGGGGGAAGGAUCUGGGCCUGCGAUACGGCGCGUGGGCGGUGGUCACCGGCGCCACCAACGGCAUCGGCCGUGCGUUGGCGCUCGAGCUCGCGCGCAGGGGGCUCCACCUUGUCCUCGUCGGCCGAAACCCCGCCAAGCUGUCCCGCGUCAGCAAGGAGGACAAGGAUGUGGCGCCGUCCAAGAGCGUGGUGUUCGACCUCGCAGGCGACGCGAAGGAGCUGUCGCUGGGCGCGGCGAUGGUGGCUGAAAUCUCGUCCCGAGAUUUAAGUGGGGAAGUAAAGAGCAACACCGGCGCGACGUACCCUUGCACGGCCUACUUCUAUGAGGUGGAGACCCCGGUGUGGGAGGGCGUGGUGCGGGUGAACGUGGAGGCGGCCACGCGGAUCUCGCGCGCCGUCGUGCCAGCGAUGGCGGGCAAGGGGAGGGGCGCCAUCGUCAAUGUCGGGUCCGGGUCGUCCGUGGUGGUGCCGGCAUUCCCGUUCUACGCCGUGUACCACUAG